GGAAGGGAUAAACGCUGAAGGCAUCUAAGCGUGAAGCCCCCCUCAAGAUGAGAUAUCCAUACUCGAAAGAGUGAGAGACCCCUUAGAGACGAUGAGGUAGAUAGGGCAGGGAUGGAAGCACAGCGAUGUGUGGAGUUGACUGCUACUAAUCGGUCGAAAGCUUGACCUUA
Molecule: ribosomal RNA, 170 nt
Filed under: Anaerobutyricum hallii
Lineage: Bacteria; Bacillati; Bacillota; Clostridia; Lachnospirales; Lachnospiraceae
Description: [Eubacterium] hallii partial 23S ribosomal RNA
Rfam family: Bacterial large subunit ribosomal RNA
Source: RNAcentral